UACGUAGGUGGCAAGCGUUAUCCGGAAUUAUUGGGCGCAAAGCGCGCGUAGGCGGUUUUUUAAGUCUGAUGUGAAAGCCCACGGCUCAACCGUGGAGGGUCAUUGGAAACUGGAAAACUUGAGUGCAGAAGAGGAAAGUGGAAUUCCAUGUGUAGCGGUGAAAUGCGCAGAGAUAUGGAGGAACACCAGUGGCGAAGGCGACUUUCUGNGUCUGUAACUGACGCUGAUGUGCGAAAGCGUGGGGAUCAAACAGGAUUAGAUA
This 262-nucleotide ribosomal RNA is filed under the name uncultured Staphylococcus sp. RNAcentral's name for it is "partial 16S ribosomal RNA". It matches the Rfam family "Bacterial small subunit ribosomal RNA", at positions 524 to 784 of the family's 1533-position model. Lineage: Bacteria; Bacillati; Bacillota; Bacilli; Caryophanales; Staphylococcaceae. The record is from RNAcentral.